This 397-nucleotide ribosomal RNA is filed under the name uncultured bacterium. RNAcentral describes it as "partial 16S ribosomal RNA". It matches the Rfam family "Bacterial small subunit ribosomal RNA", at positions 523 to 918 of the family's 1533-position model. The record is from RNAcentral.
AUACGUAGGGGGCGAGCGUUGUCCGGAAUGAUUGGGCGUAAAGGGCGCGUAGGCGGCCCGGUAAGUCUGGAGUGAAAGUCCCGCAUUCAAUGUGGGAAUUGCUUUGGAUACUGCCGCGCUUGAGUGCAGGAGAGGUUAUCGGAAUUCCCGGUGUAGCGGUGAAAUGCGUAGAGAUCGGGAGGAACACCAGUGGCGAAGGCGGGUAACUGGACUGCAACUGACGCUGAUGCGCGAAAGUGUGGGGAGCAAACAGGAUUAGAUACCCUGGUAGUCCACACUGUAAACGAUGAAUGCUAGGUGUAAGAGGUAUCGACCCCUUUUGUGCCGGAGUCAACACAAUAAGCAUUCCGCCUGGGGAGUACGGCCGCAAGGUUGAAACUCAAAGGAAUUGACGGGG